AACUGGGAAUUCCACUGACAAGUAGACCAGCUCAAUAGAUCUCAUUUCUAUCUUAUGUUAUCCUACUUGAUGUGUAAGGGUUGAAUCCUUUCUCCUAUAUAAAGAGAAGAGCCAAGCCACUAAUGGUUGAAUUAGUUUCAUCCCAUCCCGGUUGUACUGGCUUCAUUCUUAUACUUACUAGUUCCAUCCCUAGUUCAAUUCUGAGUCUUACUAGUUUCAUGCUAACUUUCCUACUUGUGAGUUGAAUCCCUAGCUGCGGAAGUGGAAUCUGUCACAAAGUAGAAUUGAACUUCCACCGAUGAUCCUGAUCUGACCUCUGUUAAGGGGAAUGCGCUAGUGAGUUACGGCCGGAAGGUAUCAAACAAAAGAAAAGAAGGGUUUAUAGGCCUUAUACAACCACCGAUAAGUACUCUAGGCAACUGGCAACUAUUCUGAAUUUCUUAAGGGCAUGCUCCAUAAAGUCGUAGUCAUUUCAACCCCCUUCCCUGACUUUAUCAUUAGUAUUGACUGACCGGCCCUUCCUCUCGCAAACACAGCAAUUUCAUCCCUGGCUUUUGCAUAUAUGGUAGAGAAUUUGGUAAAGUAGAACGAGUCACCAACCAACACUGUAAACUCUGUUGUCGUUUCGUUCCAUGUCUUUUAUUCGGGUUGCCAUGAGCAAGUCCUAUGUUCUGACUAUUUCUGCUUUCGUCAUGGCGGUAGGGCUGCUCUCCCACUACGAUAAUACCUAAUCCACCAUUCUGGUACCAACCAACUAGAGCUCCCACUAGAUUAUUUCCCCAACUCGU
This 788-nucleotide long non-coding RNA is filed under the name Musa acuminata (dwarf banana). Its description in RNAcentral is "long non-coding RNA (MACU_LNC007838)". Lineage: Eukaryota; Viridiplantae; Streptophyta; Magnoliopsida; Zingiberales; Musaceae. The record is from RNAcentral.